AGUGAACGCUGGCGGUAGGCCUAACACAUGCAAGUCGAACGGCAGCACAGUAAGAGCUUGCUCUUACGGGUGGCGAGUGGCGGACGGGUGAGGAAUACAUCGGAAUCUACUUUUUCGUGGGGGAUAACGUAGGGAAACUUACGCUAAUACCGCAUAUGACCUACGGGUGAAAGCAGUGGAUCUUCGGAGCUUUCGCGAUUGAAUGAGCCGAUGCCGGAUUAGCUAGUUGGCGGGGUAAAGGCCCACCAAGGCGACGAUCCGUAGCUGGUCUGAGAGGAUGAUCAGCCACACUGGAACUGAGACACGGUCCAGACUCCUACGGGAGGCAGCAGUGGGGAAUAUUGGACAAUGGGCGCAAGCCUGAUCCAGCCAUACCGCGUGGGUGAAGAAGGCCUUCGGGUUGUAAAGCCCUUUUGUUGGGAAAGAAAAGCAGCAGGUUAAUACACCGAUGUUCUGACGGUACCCAAAGAAUAAGCACCGGCUAACUUCGUG
RNAcentral lists this ribosomal RNA (492 nucleotides) under uncultured bacterium. Its description in RNAcentral is "partial 16S ribosomal RNA". It matches the Rfam family "Bacterial small subunit ribosomal RNA", at positions 29 to 507 of the family's 1533-position model. The record is from RNAcentral.